This is a non-coding RNA of Python bivittatus (Burmese python), 237 nucleotides long. The record is from RefSeq and is a predicted model, not a curated record. Lineage: Eukaryota; Metazoa; Chordata; Lepidosauria; Squamata; Pythonidae.
CAGCCGGCCCCGAUCAGUUUGGGUGUGACGUAAGGAAAGCCCAGUGGAAUUCGGUUUCUAACCAAUAACCUGCUUGAACUGCCUGACUUGGGAGAUCCUUCGGAAUCCAGGUUAUCCAGAUCAUUUGAAGGGAAGGAUUUAAAUCCUGGAGAACGAGAUCAAAGAGGAUUGGGCAUCAGCCUCCGAAGAUAAAUGGACAGAAAUUUAAGAAGGCAAGGAAAAUUCUUCUCUAACGAA